This 72-nucleotide transfer RNA is filed under the name Loxodonta africana (African savanna elephant). It matches the Rfam family "tRNA". From Rfam's summary of the family: Transfer RNA (tRNA) molecules are approximately 80 nucleotides in length. Their secondary structure includes four short double-helical elements and three loops (D, anti-codon, and T loops). Lineage: Eukaryota; Metazoa; Chordata; Mammalia; Proboscidea; Elephantidae. The record is from Rfam by way of RNAcentral.
GCCCUGGUGGUGUGACGUUUAAGUGCUUGGCUGCUAACCAAAAGGGUGGUGGUUCAAAUCUACCCCAUGACU